AGUGACCUCAGCUAGCCCUCUCCACGACCUUGAUGCUAAUGAAACGAGUGCAGCAGCAUUAAGGCCAUCGCAGAGAAGUCAAAGAUGAGAACAACCAGUCCGAGAAAUCAAAUGCCCACUUAUGUUGCAUGAACUGUUGUCACUGUAACAAUGAAGGGUUUGGUGAAUAUAGUGGAAAUGAUGGAAAAAAAAGUGCUGUAGUUGUAAAUGCUUUGAUUUUAUAUGAACAGACUUUGGAUUAUUUUUUUGUCAAUGAGCUAUUUAUGUACUUUUAUGUUACCUUUAAAGGAGAUGAGAUGGAAAUGUGUGAGAGUGUGUUAACAUGAAAAAUAGUUUUACAAAACAUGCCUGUCAGAUUUUAUUUUUAAUAUAUAGGAUUUUAUUAUAUACACAGUUCGGGGUGCACGUCAUGGGACUGUCUGUCAGUGUAAUAGCCUACAGCGUUUACAGCUAACGUUACCGACAGUGUUGGCAGGAUGAACUGUUAAAAGGUUUAAUGAAAUUCUGUAAUGUGACACAACAGGUAAUGAGGAGGAGUCAUAUACCGGAGUACCACGGACAGCUCCCACAUCAUGACAGUCACAGGAUCAGCACCUUGUAACACAAAAGAUUGUGGCAGAACACGGCCCACUAUUUACUCUGUUGGUUCAGGAUUUGGAUUGCCGCCUGUUGGCUUGCAUCGGUGCCCUCCUGUUUGUUUUCUACACACGAGAAGAUGAGUCAACUGAUUGGCAGUCAGACGGCAUGCUAGAUGGAAGCGCUAAACCUUGGCCUGGGCUAGCUGCUCAUUUAUUCACAGAAAGAGCAAAGAAGAGAAUAUUCCAAUGAGAACAGGUCAACAGAAAAGUCACAGAGAUUGUCCUUGUGCCCGGCCUUCUCUCGAGGAAACGCUUCAGUGAAUCUCAAAGAAUUCAUCCAUGCGAGACCCAACACAUAAACAGUCACCUUGUCAUUCACCUUGUCAAUCAGUCAGUAUGUCGGCAAGUCCACAAUCCAGCCAACCAAUGACUGAUUCCCAUCAUCUAGUCGUCAAACUCAGCAAGUGUUUCAUCCACAUACUGAUCCUCGGUGGUGUUAAAAGUCAAGACCUCCUUCUUCUACCUCAACUUCCCAUCAAAGACCUCUACAUGGAUUGGUCCAAAUAUGUUCUUAUUUCUCUCUAUUGUUACGGCAACACUGUCUCCUGAUAGGUUGUAUUGCAUGGCUGUUUUGCAAGAGAGGGGGCGGGCCUUCCUGCCUGAUUGGCUACAGCAGUGACUUUUAGAUUCUUCGUUGGUGUUUGGACGAGAGCCACUUGAUGGAAUCUUAUGUUUUAAUACUGAACUGUCAUCCGAGGGAGGGGACACAUUGGAACCGAGCAGAUUGAGCUGGUCCACAGAGCGAAGUAUAGCGGUAGAGAUUUACUUUGAUUUUAAGGUUUUGAGGAACUUUAAUCAUUAUUGUUGGCGGUCAUUCCCUCCUCUGGUUAGACAAUAAAGAUUAUUCUAUUCUAUUGCUGUACAGCAAAGACACUGCUUUUAGUUACCGUAGCACUUGUUAUGAAAUAUAUGGAGAAAACUGAACAGAUAAACUGAAAAUGACUAUUUCAAAUAAUUGAAUUUGAGUAGAAGUGAUUUAGCCUGAGGUGAAUGGUGAAGGGGAAAUUAAAGCGAUAUUCUCUUGUAAAAUUACGUCUGUCAAACUGAAUGAUUCAAAGCUGUAACCUUUGGGGACAACAUUUAUUCUUGACUGCAGCAUAUUGACAGAAAUGUCAAUGUUUCCAUGCAUAAUUCUGAUAAACUUUGUGUUUAAGCAUCAAUAUUAACAUGUUAUGACCUAAUCCAACCCAUCAUCAGGAUACCAGCAGACAUGUUCAUACGAUUUGAUAAAAUAAAGUAAGCAUGGUAUUUAAAUGUUUUAAGUCACGUCCUUUAACCGCUUAUUGAUGCAGAAUCAAAUAAAGGAAAAU
This is a non-coding RNA of Labrus bergylta (ballan wrasse), 1948 nucleotides long. Lineage: Eukaryota; Metazoa; Chordata; Actinopteri; Labriformes; Labridae. The record is from RefSeq and is a predicted model, not a curated record.